This 1494-nucleotide ribosomal RNA is filed under the name Capsicum chinense (habanero). RNAcentral's name for it is "bacterial SSU rRNA". It matches the Rfam family "Bacterial small subunit ribosomal RNA". Lineage: Eukaryota; Viridiplantae; Streptophyta; Magnoliopsida; Solanales; Solanaceae. The record is from RNAcentral.
AGAGUUUGAUCCUAGCUCAAGAUGAAUAUUGGCGGCAUGCUUAACACAUGUAACCCAGAUGGGAAACAUGGGAAAUUGUGUUUCUAGAGGUGGACGGGUGAGUAACGCGUAAGAACCUACCCUUGUAAAGGGAACUACAACUGGAAAUGACUGCUAAUGCCCCAUAGACUGAGGAGAAAAAAGAGGAAUCCACCCGAGGAGGGGCUCACAUCUGAUUAGCUAGUUGGUGAGGCAAUAUCUUACCAAGGCGAUGUUCAGUAGCUGGCCCUAAAGGAUGAUCAGCCACACUGGGAUUGAGAUAUGGACUAGACUCCUAUGGGAGGCAGCAGUAGGGAAUUUCCUAUAAUGGGAGAAAACCUAAUGGAGCAUGCCAUAUAAAGGUAGAAGGCGCAUGGGUCAUUAACUUCUUUUCCUAGAGAAGAAGCAAUGACGGUAUCUGGGGAAUAAGAAUCGUCUAACUCUAUUCCAACAACCGUGAUAAAACAGAGGAUGCAAGUGUUAUUCAGAAUGAUUGGCGUAAAACAUCUGUAAGUGGCUUUUUAAGUUCGUUUUCAAAUCCUAGGGCUCAACCCUGACAGAAAGUGGAAACUACAAGAUGAAGUACGGUAUGGGCAGAGGGAAUUUUUGGUGGAGUGGUGAAAUAGCUAGAGAUCGAAAAGAACACCAACAGUGAAAGCACUCUGUUGGGCCGACAAUGACUUUGAGAGAUGAAAGCUAGGGGAGCGAAUGGGAUUAGAUACCCCCCAGUAGUCCUAGCCAUAAAUGAUGGAUACUAGGUGUUGUGCGUAUCGACCCGUGUAGUGCUGUAGCUAACGCGUUNUUCUAUAGCUAACAUGUUAAGUAUCCCACCUGGGGAGUACAUUCGUAAGAAUAAAACUCAAAGAAAUUGACGGGGGCUCGCAUAAGAAGUGGAGCAUGUGGUUUAAUUUGAUGCAAAGCAAAGAACCUUACCAAAGCUUGACAUUCCAUGAAUCCUCUUGAAAAAGAGGGGUGCCUUUGGGAACACGGGCACAGGUGGUACAUGAUUGUUGUCAGCUCGUGCCGUAAGGUGUUGGGUUAAGUCCCGUAACGAGCAUAAACCUCAUGUUUAGUUGCCAUCAUUGAUUUUAGAACCUUAAAUAGACUUCCGGUGAUAAGCCAGAGGAAAGUGAGGAUGACGUAAAGUCAUCAUACCCCUUAUGCCAUGGGCGACACACGUGCUAUAAUGUCGGGACAAAGGGUCGCGAUCCUACGAGGGUGAGCUAACCCCAAAAACCAUCCUUAGUUUGGAUUGUAGGUUGCAACUUGCCUGCAUAAAGCUAGAAUUGCUAGAAAAUAUUGGUUAGCCAUACGACAGUGAAUUCAUUCUCGGGACUUGUACACACUGCCCGUCACACUAUAGGAGCUGGCCAUGCCCGAAUUCGUUACCUUAACCGCAAGAAGGGAAAUUCCGAAGACAGGGCUAGUGACUGAAGUGAAGUCAUAACAAGGUAUCUGUACUAUAAGGUACGGCUG